UAUCCACCUUCUGAAGAUCAACUACACAGCUUGUCUCAGGAUAAAUAUUCAUAUCGACCUGGCCAGAGUGGGGAAAGAAGAAAAGGCAAUGGAGAGGAAGCAAAUAUCAGAACAAGGUGCUCAGUGUCCUCUUGGUCUUCCACUAUCCAAGUCUACUCUUAAGAAUCUGAAACUUGUUCACAUUCUAACAGCUUUCUUCUAACAAGAGGACCUGCAUCUCCAUGGAGAUAAGAAGAAUGAAACACUGCCAAUGUAAUUCCAGGUCUCUAAAAAGUUCUGAAGAGUUUUAGGAGAAAGAGACAACCCCAAAUCACUUUGUUAAGGUGGUUAUCUUCUCUUACUACAAGCAACAUAGGCUUUCUUCAGUUGUAAAGUACAAUAAGAAAAAUCUGACAUUCUUUCUUCUGCAAAAUGAGUUGAAGGUGUUAGAGUUUGAAGUCUCCUUCCCAAAGUUGGAACCUAACUGGGAGUGGUGGUACCGCACCUGCUGAGAAGGUAGCAAUAGGAAGCCAUGAGCUGGAUGGAUGCUUGACCGAUCUUUCCUCAAGCAAAUGCAAAAGGACUCCCUAACUAAAUAACAGGGCACAGGAUCUCUUAUGUCCAAGACACUUUUUUUUUUUAAGAAAAUAGCCUAUUGCUAACCUGGGUGUAUAAAAGAUCAUGUGUCACUGGUCCUUGGAAAAAAAGGAUAUAUCCCACAGACCAUAUUGCAUAGUUACCGACAUAAAUAUUUUCAGCAGAGAACCACCCUGUUCUGGGUCAUCAUGACUGAUGACAGUUCCAUAUUGGCAUGAGAGAAGAAUCCUCAUUCAAAUCUAGGAACUGAAAUGGUUUGGAUUUUCUAAAUUCAACCCAUGUCUUAAGUAGUCUAUAACUCUUAACCAGGUAAUGUCAACAUUGGAUUCUGAGGAUGGGGAAACUUCUUCCUCCUGCCCAGACUUUCUCCAGUAUAAGAAGCAAGCAGAGCAAAAUCUUCUGUAAACAAUGGCUUUCACUGUGUGUCCGAUGACUUUGGCAGGACUUGGCUAUAUUCAUUAAAUACCAACAACUUUCUUAUUUAACUAUUUGUUUUCUCUUCAUUGGCCCUCUCCCAUUCCUCA
Long non-coding RNA from Phascolarctos cinereus (koala), 1100 nucleotides. RefSeq lists it as uncharacterized. NCBI's taxonomy places the organism in Eukaryota, Metazoa, Chordata, Mammalia, Diprotodontia, Phascolarctidae. The record is from RefSeq and is a predicted model, not a curated record.